Molecule: ribosomal RNA, 205 nt
Filed under: Agathobaculum butyriciproducens
Lineage: Bacteria; Bacillati; Bacillota; Clostridia; Eubacteriales; Butyricicoccaceae
Description: partial 16S ribosomal RNA
Rfam family: Bacterial small subunit ribosomal RNA
Source: RNAcentral
AAUUUUUAGAGAGUUUGAUCCUGGCUCAGGAUGAACGCUGGCGGCGUGCCUAACACAUGCAAGUCGAACGGAACUAUUUUGGAAACUCCUUCGGGAGCGGAAUCUUUAGUUUAGUGGCGGACGGGUGAGUAACGCGUGAGCAAUCUGCCUUUAAGAGGGGGAUAACAGUCGGAAACGGCUGCUAAUACCGCAUAAAGCAUCAAAU